Molecule: ribosomal RNA, 253 nt
Filed under: uncultured bacterium
Lineage: Bacteria
Description: partial 16S ribosomal RNA
Rfam family: Bacterial small subunit ribosomal RNA
Source: RNAcentral
UACGGAGGGGACUAGCGUUGUUCGGAAUUACUGGGCGUAAAGCGCGCGUAGGCGGAUUAGUCAGUCAGAGGUGAAAUCCCGGGGCUCAACCCCGGAACUGCCUUUGAUACUGCUAGUCUUGAGUUCGAGAGAGGUGAGUGGAAUUCCGAGUGUAGAGGUGAAAUUCGUAGAUAUUCGGAGGAACACCAGUGGCGAAGGCGGCUCACUGGCUCGAUACUGACGCUGAGGUGCGAAAGCGUGGGGAGCAAACAGG